AUCGAACUCAAGACCUUGCACUUGCCAGGCAGGCGUGGUGCCACUCAGCUAAAUCCCCAGCCCUGCAUGUCAGUGUUUAACAACCAGAACAGCUGAACCCACCACACUGUGGUCCAGAACUUCAAAGUCAUCUUCAAGGGCUGUGCUGCCACCACCACAGGGAGGAAACACUGACUGCAUUUCAGAGCUUUCUUCUCUUUCUCUAGAUAUAGGCCGCCCUGGACUCUCCCGUCCUGAGAGCCUGAGACCUCCAGGCCUCCCUAUGAUCAAGUGUAAGAAACAGCUCAAUUAAAAGUGCAGACCGACGUACGUGUGCAAACACAACCCCCAGAGGACGGAAGUUUCAGUAACCCUGAAAGACUUUCUGCAUUUUUAUCUAAAGCCUUUUCCAUGGAAAUCAAUUUCAUGGACUUGGUAAUGUGCACAAGCGCUUCAUGAUAGAGACUGUGACAUUUCAUGGAAAAUGUCUAACCCCCAUUAUUCCCCCGGCCCUUUAUCUCCUACCAUUUGGUGAUAAUGUACCGUAGUAAACACGCCUCAGAUACAAAUCAAUAGUGAUAAAUGUCUCCU
RNAcentral lists this long non-coding RNA (570 nucleotides) under Fukomys damarensis (Damara mole-rat). RNAcentral's name for it is "lncRNA (ENSFDAG00000027076.1)". The record is from RNAcentral. Lineage: Eukaryota; Metazoa; Chordata; Mammalia; Rodentia; Bathyergidae.